This 253-nucleotide ribosomal RNA is filed under the name uncultured bacterium. RNAcentral's name for it is "partial 16S ribosomal RNA". It matches the Rfam family "Bacterial small subunit ribosomal RNA", at positions 524 to 776 of the family's 1533-position model. The record is from RNAcentral.
UACGUAGGGAGCAAGCGUUGUCCGGAAUCAUUGGGCGUAAAGCGCGCGUAGGUGGCUUCGUAAGUCCGUUGUGAAAGUCAAGGGCUCAACCCUUGAAUGCCGGUGGAUACUGCAGGGCUAGAGUCCGGAAGAGGCGAGUGGAAUUCCUGGUGUAGCGGUGAAAUGCGCAGAUAUCAGGAGGAACACCGAUGGCGAAGGCAGCUCGCUGGGACGGUACUGACGCUGAGGCGCGAAAGCGUGGGGAGCAAACAGG